CCCAUCAUGUUCACACCCAGCCAGCCUCAGUCCUGAGCUCUCAGUUGUCCGGAUUUAUCCUUCUCCGAUGAGAACUUGCUUCUGGAGGCCACACGGGGGCGCUGCAGGAGAGCACAGAGGCAGAGAGGCAGGGGUUCCUCCCACGCACUGCCCCCUGGUCAGCAACUGGGCUGUCUUCUCAGAUAGAGCCUCUCAGCUACUGCUCCUCUCUGUCACUCAGUCAGCAAGGCCAGUGCCAACUCACUGUACUAGGGACUCCUUUAGUUGAAUAGGUGCUGAGUUUGGAGAGAGCCCCUCUUGUCAUCUGGUCCCUCUGCUUCCAGGACCCAGGAGAAGCAGCCGUGCUGUGGGCUGUGGCCCUGCUGCUUCGAACUUUCCUGCCAGCUGGCGGUCAAACAUCUUCUGGUUUGGAAGGAGGAAUGAAGUCAGUCAUCAGGAAGCCUGGGUCAUAUGCAGUCAUCGGUUGGGUUGUGAUGUUCAUGAAGAGAACUACAUCCACUGGCUGGAGCAGCUGCCCAGGUCCUUGGAUACACAGGAAGUUUGCUCAGAGUGUUAACUGAUGGUUCCUGCUUGCUGUUUGCAGCCGCCAUGAACUGCGGCCCAGCCAUGCCCGCCUGCCUUGGAGCCAACUGAGUGUGGACUGAAACCUCUAAAAACUGUAAAAAAUAAACCUUUCCUUUCCCAACUUGGGCUUGAGGUAUUUCGUCUCAGUAAAAAGUAACUAAGACACUGAUCUAGGUGCAGGGCCCAGAAUGCUAUCUCCCUGCGGACACCUCAGGAGCCCCCUCCCCAUCCUGGCCCCCUACUCUAGUUUCC
Molecule: long non-coding RNA, 816 nt
Organism: Cavia porcellus (domestic guinea pig)
Lineage: Eukaryota; Metazoa; Chordata; Mammalia; Rodentia; Caviidae
Exons: 4
Source: RefSeq, a predicted model, not a curated record